CUACGGGGGGCUGCAGUGGGGAAUAUUGGACAAUGGGGGCAACCCUGAUCCAGCCAUGCCGCGUGUGUGAAGAAGGCCCUCGGGUUGUAAAGCACUUUCAGUGAGGAAGAACGCCUGGUGGUUAAUACCCAUCAGGAAAGACAUCACUCACAGAAGAAGCACCGGCUAACUCCGUGCCAGCAGCCGCGGUAAUACGGAGGGUGCGAGCGUUAAUCGGAAUUACUGGGCGUAAAGCGCGCGUAGGUGGCUUGAUAAGCCGGUUGUGAAAGCCCCGGGCUCAACCUGGGAACGGCAUCCGGAACUGUCAAGCUAGAGUGCAGGAGAGGAAGGUAGAAUUCCCGGUGUAGCGGUGAAAUGCGUAGAGAUCGGGAGGAAUACCAGUGGCGAAGGCGGCCUUCUGGACUGACACUGACACUGAGGUGCGAAAGCGUGGGUAGCAAACAGGAUUAGAUACCCGGGUAGUC
This 464-nucleotide ribosomal RNA is filed under the name Vreelandella stevensii. RNAcentral describes it as "partial 16S ribosomal RNA". It matches the Rfam family "Bacterial small subunit ribosomal RNA", at positions 339 to 795 of the family's 1533-position model. The record is from RNAcentral. Lineage: Bacteria; Pseudomonadati; Pseudomonadota; Gammaproteobacteria; Oceanospirillales; Halomonadaceae.